AAUGGUAGAGGCGCAAGGCUCAAGAGUAGCGCGGGCAUUUUGGGAAGCGGUUUCCCGUCCGAGCGAAAGGGUGCUUUGCCGAAGCGGUGCGGCUGCCGACCGGUCUGCAUUGCUGGGGCGUGAGAGAAUAUCUUACGGACUGUCACUUCGGUGGAGAGCUAUCAU
This 165-nucleotide non-coding RNA is filed under the name human gut metagenome. RNAcentral describes it as "Lysine riboswitch". It matches the Rfam family "Lysine riboswitch aptamer". From Rfam's summary of the family: Riboswitches are metabolite binding domains within certain messenger RNAs that serve as precision sensors for their corresponding targets. Allosteric rearrangement of mRNA structure is mediated by ligand binding, and this results in modulation of gene expression. The record is from RNAcentral.